RNA transcript from Raphanus sativus (radish), 1596 nucleotides. RefSeq lists it as uncharacterized. The record is from RefSeq and is a predicted model, not a curated record. NCBI's taxonomy places the organism in Eukaryota, Viridiplantae, Streptophyta, Magnoliopsida, Brassicales, Brassicaceae. The transcript has 3 exons.
UGGAGGCAUAUUUCUUUCACAAGAAAAAUAUGCAAACAAACUUGUAGACAAGUUUGGGAUGCGAGACAGCAAGAGUGUAAGCAAUCCACUUACACCACAAGGGAAAGGAGGAAAAGUUGAAGAUGACAAGGAGUAUGGAGAUCCGACUAAGUAUAGAAGCAUUGUUGGAGGGCUUUUGUACUUGUGUGCAUCAAGACCGGAUGUGAUGUAUGCAAGCGCCUAUCUCUCAAGAUACAUGUCAUCACCUCGCAUGAAGCACUACCAAGAAGCCAAAAGGGUGUUAAGGUAUGUCAAAGGAACUUCAGACUUUGGAGUGUACUUUACAAGUGUGGAAGAACCAAGACUUGUAGGCUACUCGGACAGCGAUUGGGGUGGUUCUAAGGAAGACAAGAAAAGCACUUCAGGUUAUGUGUUUACUCUUGGUUCAGCCAUGUUUUGUUGGCAGUCAAGCAAGCAACAAACAGUGGCACAAUCAACGGCUGAGGCGGAGUACAUAGCCGUGUGUGCAGCAGCAAAUCAAGCCGUGUGGUUACAAAGGCUAUUUGAAGACUUUGGUCAGAAAUUUGAAGGAGGUAUUCCGAUCCUAUGUGACAACAAAUCAGCAAUAGCAAUUGGGAAGAAUCCAGUGCAACACAGAAGGACGAAGCACAUAGAGAUCAAGUAUCAUUUCGUGAGGGAAGUUGAGCAGAAAGGAAUCAUUGAACUCGAGUAUUGCAAAGGGGAUGAUCAACUCGCAGACAUUCUCACAAAGGCAUUAGGCGGUUCAAGGUUUGAAGAUCUCAGGAAGCAGCUUGGAGUCAAGUCGAGAUAUGAUUAAGGAGGAGUGUUAAACUAUAUAAUCUAAUCUCUCCUUAAUACAUUUACAUAAGUUAGUUAUUUGUUAGUUAUUACACAAAGAGUUGUAACUCUUCAUGAAGAGGUGUGUCUCUUCAAGGUAUUGAUUCGAUCUCUAUAUAAAGAUCAAUCAAUUGUUGUAAACAUCAUCACAGAAUCUCAAUAAAGACAAAGUAUUUCCAGACAAGUAUACAAAAUUCGUAACUUGUUGAAUAAGCCUAAAGCGUCUAUCUUAGUUCUUAUUCCGAACUCGUGUGUAACACACUGUGAUCUUUGUGUAACAUAAGCGGUUGGUAAAAGAUUAACAUCCAACACAAAAGGGUUUGUUUCCACAAUCAACGGUAGAGAUCAAAAGAUAGUGAUAAAAUUUCAACAAUCUCCACUACUUUAAUAUCUAUAUCUUCUUCCCACGAUAAACCCUGAUCUUUGAAGAAAGAUCACAUAUGGUGGUUAUUUAAAUCAGACAAAGCUUUGCUUGAAGAAACAGGGCAGAAACAGAACACGUCUUCUUCUUUUUUUUUAAAUGGCGAGAAUACAACUCUUUAAACUUCGAACGUUCUUGGUUUUAGUUGUUCUGUCUCUUGUGAUCGUAUUUAAGCCUCUCCUAGUUACUCCAAGUCUGAACUGAGAAACUGAUGGACUAUGAAAUCAAGGGACAAGAAUUAAAUGAGAUUAGCCACCUGAGACGAGUUGAAAUAGAUCCUAAGAGAAGAACAAGGGCACGGAGGUUGAUGAAUGUUGAUGAGAUUAACGAUUAUCCAG